AACCAUAUACAGAAAGAGAGAAAGUGUGUUCAAAGUGUUGAACAUAUAUAAAUGAAUAAAAUCAAAGUGUUGGGUCAGCACUUCUAAACCUGUUCGAUCCAUUAAUCGUUUGUUUCAAUUAGGGCUUCCCAAACCCUACGCCAGACAGAAUUCAAUCGCAGAUUCAAAAUCAGUAAACUCAAACCAAUCAAUCAGAAAAAUCGAAGGAACCGAUUCCUGACCGGAGCAUGGCGGAGCACCUGGCAUCGAUCUUCGGGACGGAGAAGGAUCGCGUCAACUGCCCUUUCUACUUCAAGAUCGGCGCGUGCCGGCACGGCGACCGGUGCUCGCGGCUGCACAACCGGCCAAGCAUCUCGCCAACCCUGCUGCUGUCCAACAUGUACCAGCGUCCCGACAUGAUCACGCCCGGCGUGGAUCCGCAGGGGCAGCCGCUGGACCCGCACAAGAUCCAGCAGCACUUCGAGGACUUCUACGAGGACAUCUUCACGGAGCUCGCAAAGUUCGGCGAGAUCGAGAGCCUCAAUGUCUGCGACAAUCUCGCCGACCACAUGAUCGGCAACGUCUACGUCCAGUUCCGCGAGGAGGACCAGGCCGCCAAGGCCCUCCAAGCACUCCACGGACGGUUCUACAACGCCCGCCCCAUCAUCGCCGACUUCUCCCCUGUCACAGACUUCCGCGAGGCCACGUGUCGGCAGUUUGAGGAGAACAGCUGCAACCGCGGCGGAUAUUGCAACUUCAUGCACGUCAAGCUCAUCGGAAGGGACCUCCGCCGGAAGCUCUUCGGCCGCCAUCACCACCGCGGAGGUGGACGCUACCACCACACCAGCCGGAGCCGCAGUCGCAGCCGCAGCAGGAGUCCAAGGCACCGCCGGGAGGGACGGGAGAGGGACUCCCGCAGCGGCGGGAGGCGGGAGUAUAGAGAGAGAGACGGCGGUGGACGACGGAGACACGCCGAGAGUCCCGCCAGAGAAGGGAGCGAGGAACGACGCGCGAGGAUCGAGCAGUGGAAUCGGGAGAGGGAGGAGAAGGAGUGACUUUAUCGAUGAUGGUUUCCGAGAAUGGAACAUCAAUUUCGUUCUCAGAGCUAGGUGCAAUAGGGGGAUUGGUUGUGCAGCGGAUGUUCUUGAGAUGUAGGAAUUGCAUUUCAAAGACUAACGAAGUUGGGGUUUGAAUUGCCUCUUCACUAUAGGUAUAUAAAAGCAUGUUUCGGAGAAAUAUUUUUGAUGAAUCCAAGUGCUAAAUACUGUACAAAAAUGAGACAACUAAGAUGGGCAACUUCUGCUUUGUUAUCCUGGGAUUUUUGCCACUUGGGCUAUGGUGGUAUUUGAGCUCUCCAAACCUAGGUUGACAUCAAGGCUUAGUGGAUGUUUUGGUUUAACUUAUUUAGGAGAAACGAUCGGUCAUUUCUUUUGGCUUUUUGAGAGAUUUUGCUAAAUAAGCUAAUAUUUCUCUAAAUUUAAGUUGAGCCAAGCCAUUAGUUUGUGCUCACUCCAAUUACUUUAGGAUAUGUUUGGGAGUUUGGAUUUGGAAAGGAAGGGAGGGGAGGCAAAUUUUUUAAUUUAUAAUUUUAGAUUAGUAAGAAAUUAACCCAUAUAUCUCCGACAUAAUUUUUAUAAACUUAUAUGUUUGCCCUCCUCACUGUUCUCCUUCAAAACCCAUGGGACAAUUUAGCCAUAGGGACCACUAGGCAUUGUGACUGAGGUUUUCUAUGGGGGUUUUAACUUGUUCUUCACGCAUCAGUUAGGAAGGAACAGGAAUUAUCAUCUUCUGAUAUCAUAUAAAGUGCAAGCAGUUUAGGUUUCUGAAACCAGGAUGAGGCCGGACAGAUGUACAGAGCAAUAUGUUCCCAUUUUUGGUUAGACUACCUACCUUAACUCCUGUAACAGUUGAAUUUUCUACCAUCUUACCAUGCUUGAGUUCAUUUUUUAAAGCGGGAGAGGUUUUGACUCUGGUAUGUUUGGUUGAGGUGAAAGAAAAUCAUGAUGGGGAUAUUUUUUUCUGUUUGAUUAGCAAAACGGGAAGGAGAAGAGUGAACUGGAUUUGUUAAAUUAAGUUUCAAUCAUUUCUUUCACUUUCCCUUUAAA
Molecule: RNA transcript, 2084 nt
Organism: Vigna umbellata (rice bean)
Lineage: Eukaryota; Viridiplantae; Streptophyta; Magnoliopsida; Fabales; Fabaceae
Gene name: splicing factor U2af small subunit A-like
Source: RefSeq, a predicted model, not a curated record